AUUCAUUGACAUCUAAUUUAAUGAAAUAGAACACAUAAUCUUAUCUUAUCAUAAGCAAGAAAUGCAAGAUGUUUUAAGAAAUAUAUUAUUGUAUUUGUCAUCAUUUCAGUUGGCAUUGCUAGAGCAGCAUUAAGGCAGUCAAUGAAUGCAACUUAUUUGGUGAGCAUGGAGCCACCUGGUCUGGGAUUUUUGUUAAUAUUGAUGCCCACCACAGGAACAGAACAAUCUUACCCUGGGAAUCAAACUCUGAGGACACUGAUGCCUCUCUUCUAUUGAGUGUAAGUUGGCCUGCAUUAGCCAUAAAUGAAGAUGAUGUUAGAAUGAAAACAAUUGAGAAGGUCCUUCGCAAGUUAAAAGGCAACUUUGGUAUCAAACAUUUUCCUAGAGAUAGGUACAAAACAGCUAUAGAGGACAAAAAUAGAAAGUAUUACCGCCCUGCUGAAAUAAAGUUUAUAAGCACAGUAAGACUUUCUGAUCUUUUGGCAUCAUUUUACAAAGCUCAGAAGACAGAAACUGCCAGACAGUCUGCUCUGAACUCCCAAGAGUACUCAAAUUACCAGGCCCCUUCAUAUGUUGACCUAACAAAGUCAAAGUUGCCAAGGAGAGUUGAGUAAAUAGAAGCGCAAAAGUUUCAUUUAUUAACUUUUAAAGCAAUAACACAUUUGAAUGUUCAAGUAUCCACCUGACUGAUGAAUGUUCAAGUAUCCACCAGACAGAUGAAUGUUCAAGUAUCCACCAGACAGAUGAAUGUUCAAGUAUACACCAGAUAGAUGAAUGUUCAAGUAUCCACUAGACAGAUGAAUGUUCAAGUAUCCACCAGACAGUUGAAUGUGCAAGUAUCCACUAGACAGAUGAAUGUUCAAGUAUCCACCAUUUCAUUAAUUAUCAUAUUUCUCUUUUAGGAAAAUGUUUCUGUUUUCACUUUAUUUUAUUUUGUACCAGUCUAUUAUUUUGUACCAUUAAGAAUUUAUAUUUUAUGUUAGUAAAAAAGAUGUUUGAAAUUUUGUAGCAAAAUUUAAAAAAAAAAAUCUCCUCUAUAUAUAUUAAAAUAGUAAUUUACUCAACCUUGGAAUCCUAUCACUGAACUGGGAAAGCUAGCUUUGAUUGUUUUUGUUGUUGUAAAUAGCCAUAUGGAUAGUGUGUAUAUUAUGCAAAGGUUGAUUAUUAGCUAUUAAGGUUGGAGUUUUCCUUUUUUUUAAUUUUUACAUGAUUUCAAUGUUAAAUACCACUGUAGUUGUCUUUCUGAUAAUGAUGUUAUGAUGUGGUCUUGGUAUAUUUUUUCUGUGAUUAGAUGUUGUAACAUAUAGAUAUUGACAAUGUACAAAGUUUAUAUACAACCAAGUUCAUACAUUAAUCUAUUUCACAAUCAUACAAACUAUAAACUGCGUAAAGCUUUUUGUUAUUAUUAAAAAUAUAAACUGUAAAGUAUUGGAUACUAAAAUGCAUUUUAAUUUAUUCUUCCCGAGCUAUACUUUAUUGCUUCUUCAUUUUGUGUGUGCACAAUCUAUUGAAUUAAUAAUGUAAUUUUUUGUGAGAUGAUUUGUGUUGGUCACAUGUAUAAGUCAUUAGUUUCUAUCAUGAUUUUUUUAAAAGUAUUUGUGUAAAACCAGAGAGGUUUCCUUAAAUUUGUACUUUAUUAAUUUUUUAUGUUACAUUUUUGUUUAGUUUUAAUUUUACUUACAAGCUGAAUUUGUAUACAUAGCUAUGAUUUGAUUUGAUGGAAUUCUUCUUUUUGUAAAAUUUUACAUGGUCUAAGGUUUUUGAGUUCAUUGAAGCUUUUUUUCAAAACUGUCUGAAGAGUUGAACUGAAGGCUUGUGAAACAAUAGGCCAGCAAAAAAUAACAAAAGCUUCCUCUCACCAGCCUGACUGAAAUGAUUGUUCUGUCUGGAAGAGAUCCUACUUGGUGUCUGUAUCACACUACUAUUUCCAAUGCUUCAGAAGCUCCAGACACAGGGGCUAGAGAUUGGCAGACUGCUAAGCACACCAAGAACUCCUGCCAUCUUCCUGCUCUUUACCACACUCAACAAUCCCCAUUCCAUUUGUGAAACAGAAUGUUGGGAUUGUUGACAUGGUCAUAAAGACUCUCUUCCCAACCAAGAAUUGAGCAAUGCUUUUCCAUUCCUAAUGAAGUCUUGUUUUCUUACUUCCUUGAAGCCUAAUUGUUUUGACCCAGGGGUGGGGGGGCACUAUGUUGUAGACUGGGAUGUUUGCUUUCUGACAGCAUUGUAGAAUAAUUAUAUUGUAAUAAAAUAUUUUUCAAAUAAAAAAAUUAAAUGAAACAAAACCUACAUCUUGGCUAUUAAAAUCCAGGUUAAUACUGCUAUUUGUUAUAUAAUGUAUGUGUCACUGUCAUGAGAUGUAUACAUUGGAUGCUUACAUAAACAUUGGUUUUGUGAAACAUCAGUCAAUUGUAUUUAUGACCCUACUCUAAAUGGCCUAAAAUGUUGAACAUAAGAGUACCAGUUCAAUGUUAGAGAAAAUAAUAGUAAGUAGGGGAGACAAUAAAAGAGUUUUAAUAUGUUC
This is an RNA transcript of Biomphalaria glabrata, 2524 nucleotides long. RefSeq lists it as uncharacterized. NCBI's taxonomy places the organism in Eukaryota, Metazoa, Mollusca, Gastropoda, Planorbidae. The transcript is spliced from 6 exons. The record is from RefSeq and is a predicted model, not a curated record.